AACAUUCUGGUUCAUUCGCUAAUGUGUUUAUAAAAUUUGAACCGAUAAUAUAAAAUAGGUGAUAUUCCUCUAUCAUUGUUGUGCAGUACCUAAUUAGGGAAGCCUGAUCUGAUAUGAAAUUCGCCACCUGACCUUUCGGUUCAGGUAUGGCACAUGGCGGUGAUUUGGUUUGUUA
This 175-nucleotide non-coding RNA is filed under the name Gammaproteobacteria bacterium. Its description in RNAcentral is "6S RNA". It matches the Rfam family "6S / SsrS RNA". From Rfam's summary of the family: E. coli 6S RNA was the first non coding RNA to be sequenced, but its function was unknown until recently. The record is from RNAcentral. Lineage: Bacteria; Pseudomonadati; Pseudomonadota; Gammaproteobacteria.